GCACAAGCAGUGGAGUAUGUGGUUUAAUUCGAGGCAACGCGAAGAACCUUACCAGGGUUUGACAUCCCGCGCUAGAGGUAGAGAUACCUUGUUCCUUUCGGGGACGCGGAGACAGGUGGUGCAUGGUUGUCGUCAGCUCGUGUCGUGAGAUGUUCGGUUAAGUCCGGCAACGAGCGCAACCCUCGUGGCCAGUUGCCAUCAUUCAGUUGGGCA
This 213-nucleotide ribosomal RNA is filed under the name uncultured bacterium. Its description in RNAcentral is "partial 16S ribosomal RNA". It matches the Rfam family "Bacterial small subunit ribosomal RNA", at positions 923 to 1137 of the family's 1533-position model. The record is from RNAcentral.